UACAGAGGGGGCAAGCGUUGUUCGGAAUUACUGGGCGUAAAGGGCGCGUAGGCGGCCCGCUAAGUCGAACGUGAAAUCCCCAAGCUUAACUUGGGAACUGCAUCCGAUACUGGAUGGCUUGAAUCCGGGAGAGGGAUGCAGAAUUCCAGGUGUAGCGGUGAAAUGCGUAGAUAUCUGGAGGAAUACCGGUGGCGAAGGCGGCAUCCUGGACCGGCAUUGACGCUGAGGAGCGAAAGCUAGGGGAGCAAACGGG
This 253-nucleotide ribosomal RNA is filed under the name uncultured bacterium. RNAcentral's name for it is "partial 16S ribosomal RNA". It matches the Rfam family "Bacterial small subunit ribosomal RNA", at positions 524 to 776 of the family's 1533-position model. The record is from RNAcentral.